Molecule: ribosomal RNA, 496 nt
Filed under: uncultured bacterium
Lineage: Bacteria
Description: bacterial SSU rRNA
Rfam family: Bacterial small subunit ribosomal RNA
Source: RNAcentral
AAAUGAAUAGACGGGGGCCCGCACAAGCGGUGGAGCAUGUGGUUUAAUUCGACGCAACGCGAAGAACCUUACCAGGUCUUGACAUCCUCUGACCUACUAAGAGAUUAGUACUUCUGACUUGUCAGACAGAGAGACAGGUGGUGCAUGGUUGUCGUCAGCUCGUGUCGUGAGAUGUUGGGUUAAGUCCCGCAACGAGCGCAACCCUUGUUCUUAGUUGCCAUCAGGUAAAGCUGGGCACUCUAAGGAGACUGCCGGUGACAAACCGGAGGAAGGUGGGGAUGACGUCAAAUCAUCAUGCCCCUUAUGACCUGGGCUACACACGUGCUACAAUGGCCUGUACAGAGGGUAGCGAAGCCGCAAGGUGAAGCCAAUCCCCAAAGCAGGUCUCAGUUCGGAUUGUAGGCUGCAACCCGCCUACAUGAAGCAGGAAUCGCUAGUAAUCGCGGGUCAGCAUACCGCGGUGAAUACGUUCCCGGGCCUUGUACACACCGCCCGU